This 526-nucleotide ribosomal RNA is filed under the name Theileria ovis. RNAcentral describes it as "SSU rRNA". It matches the Rfam family "Eukaryotic small subunit ribosomal RNA", at positions 552 to 1111 of the family's 1831-position model. Lineage: Eukaryota; Apicomplexa; Aconoidasida; Piroplasmida; Theileriidae. The record is from RNAcentral.
CGGGCAGUCUGGUGCCAGCAGCCGCGGUAAUUCCAGCUCCAAUAGCGUAUAUUAAAAUUGUUGCAGUUAAAAAGCUCGUAGUUGAAUUUCUGCUGCAUUGCUUUUGCUCCUUUACGAGUCUUUGCAUUGUGGCUUAUUUCGGACUUUGUUUUACAAUGUCCGGAUGUUUACUUUGAGAAAAUUAGAGUGCUCAAAGCAGGCUUUCGCCUUGAAUAGUUUAGCAUGGAAUAAUAAAGUAGGACUUUGGUUCUAUUUUGUUGGUUUUAGGUACCAAAGUAAUGGUUAAUAAGAACAGUUGGGGGCAUUCGUAUUUAACUGUCAGAGGUGAAAUUCUUAGAUUUGUUAAAGACGAACUACUGCGAAAGCAUUUGCCAAGGAUGUUUUCAUUAAUCAAGAACGAAAGUUAGGGGAUCGAAGACUAUCAGAUACCGUCGUAGUCCUAACCAUAAACUAUGCCGACUAGAGAUUGGAGGUCGUCAGUUUUUACGACUCCUUCAGCACCUUGAGAGAAAUCAAAGUCUUUGGA